Long non-coding RNA from Colius striatus (speckled mousebird), 4833 nucleotides. RefSeq lists it as uncharacterized. The transcript has 4 exons. NCBI's taxonomy places the organism in Eukaryota, Metazoa, Chordata, Aves, Coliiformes, Coliidae. The record is from RefSeq and is a predicted model, not a curated record.
UCACCUGAGAGCUGCUCGGGCCUCCGGAUUUCUUUUUUUUGGCGGGGCCACCACCCGUGCCUGGACUCGCCGGGCGCUUCUUGCUACGGGAUGGGGCGCCAGCGGGAGAAGAGGCCGCCGCCGGGAUCAGACUCGCCAUUUCUUCGCCCACUGCCUCACUCCCAGCCCCUCCGCACCUGGGAUGAGCCCGUCGAGACAUUAAACACCCCACCAUCUCCAUUGCCAUUACACAGAAUCACAGAAUCUCAAGGGCUGGAAGGGACCUCUAAAGAUCAUGUAGUCCAACCCCCGUGCCAGAGCAGGACCACCUAGAGUAGGUCACACAGGAACUCGUCCAGCAAGCUUCAGGAUCCCACUGGAACUUGUGGUGCUUGGGCGUUGUAUUAAGUACUUCAUCUAAGCUGUGUGGAAAUACCUACUUAUUGUUCUCUGCUCACAUCUGCUGCUCGCUUAUGCUGGAAAGUUCAUAGACGUUUUCCUUUUUUGUUAUGGGAAACGAUCUCAGAAGUGGCACUCUGGAGAGUUAAAACUUUUUUUUUUAAAGAGACUGGAGGAAAAGAAAGGUAUGAAAAUAGAUGAAUAUAAAAUUAAAUACAUGAAUUUGCUUUCAUGCUGCUGUGCUGGUUCUAGACUCUAUGCCCCAUCUUUUUCUCAUCUCCUAACUGUAUAGCUCAUUGCUUGCACAGUCUCUGUGCUUGUUACGUUUGAUGAAAGAAUCUUUCUGUGCCAUCCAUCCGUGCUAAGAUUUCUGAGCAUAUAUCCAAAAAAUAAUGUGGCUUAUUUUUAAUUUAAUAACAUGAUAUUUGAGUGGGGCUGGGGGAGAUGGAGGGGAGGUUCCUGUGGCUGUAUUGAGUAAUAGGGAUGAAAAUAGUCUUUCUCCUGGAUCCACAAGAUUGCUGUCCAGGUAGAAUUAUGUGCACUACAUAAAGGAAGAGUUAAAACAUGCAGUCAAGCCACAGGGUGGGCCCGAGUAGAUCAACAGUUCAGGCAGGUUUUCCUUAUUUUGUCUGUUCUAAGCAGUUCCUCUUUAGCUGUGGCAUGUGCUGUAGUAGCUCUAGGACUGAAACAGCAGCUGCCAAGAACUACUUUGAGGUGCUGGAUUAUUUUUUUGUUUUCUCCUUUUAUUCCUCCAUGCUAGGCUGGUGCUCAGCCAUGGUGUACUUGCUUCCAGGGCAGGAUUUCAAAAUCGGGCAGUAAGCACAAAAACGGCUCAGUGAGUUUUCAUCCACUUUGUCUAACAUCAGUGCAACUCUGAAUGGAAGGCAGUGAAUGUACUAAUAUCAAAGACCAUUGCUACUCUGCAAGACAGAAGAAAACUUGUUAGAAUGUCCUUAUCACAAAAUAUUUUGUACUUUUAUAUACUUGAAAAUUGUGGAAUAGAAGGAUUUAAGAAUAAGAAUGGAGCUGUGAGAAUGUUAGACAAUUUUCUAAUACUUGAAAAUUGUUAACAAAGCACUCUGAGUAAUGGAUUAUGCCUUUCUUUUACAGAAAAGACUUUUAUACUUUGGAUAAAUUACUUGAUCCUAUGCACAUGCUGUCCACUAGUUACAGAAAUCAAAACCCCAGGGAAAUAGCUUGCCUGUCUACAAAGCUCACCUACGCCAAUUGAGCGUUGCCCAUUUCCACUGAGCACGUACUUAAGGGGAGACACAGCUGAGGAUGACCUUCGGGAUUAUUGCUGCUGCAGACUUCUGCAAGGAAAUAAGUGAACUGCAAAUCACCUUUGUGUUGACAAGAAAAACAAAACCCAAGUUCAUCUGGAAGCUGGGGAGGUUCCUGUCAUAUGUCUGUAGUAGCUCUUGUAAUCUUCUGGGUACCCAUGCUGGGGUGUGUCAGAGAGAGGAAGCUAGACCCAAACCAUAAAUUCCUGCAGGCCUAGCUCAUUUGCAAAGUAAUUGAGGUAAAUAUAAUUAAAACAAUGAAUUGCAGUGUGUGUUGAUCAUUUUAAAACCUUAAUUGGGCAGUAAAACUGGAAUCUAGAUUAGGGGUGGAGUCCUCUGACUGGAAAUAACAUGUCGGGAUGCUAAUCGAUGCACACCUUCAGUAGGAACACCAGACUAAUGGCAAAACCUACCAAGUACUUAUUAAGGGCUUGUUCUACCUGAAAAGUGAGUGGCAAGUGGUGAAUUUCUAUCGAAUAAGUCCACUUCCUUUAUCUGCCAGUAAGCAUCUUCCGAUGCCUGUAACUAGAAAGGUACGUUCCUGCUUUCUUCUGCUGCUUGUGUUUCACAAGCUGUAAUUAUAACAAACAGUGCCUUUCUGACACAGCUGUUUGUAGAGUUCCAAUCAUUGCCUCUGCUAGAAAACUGCUGAAGGCAAAUGAGAUCUUCAGUUGUCACUGAAGGCAUGACUUAAUAAUGCAGUGUAUCUCUACACUGAUGAAUUCAGCCUUUUUAUUGUGGUUAAUCUAUGACGUGUGGAACAGACAGCACCUUCAUUUCACAGACCUGUGGGAAGCUUGUUUUCUCUCCUUUGCUCUUCUGUAUAUGAUAAACAGACCUUAUUUAUUGAAGCAGCCAUCAAGGUACAAAGCUGAAGCCCUCAGGUGCCACUUUUACAGUCCCUUUUCAGAAGGUACCUCCUCCUUCAAGCAACUGCUUUCUGCAUGGCCACCAGCAUCCCCUACAAAACUGCCUUGUUUUGCAUUUGGCAAAGAAUUUUAUUGCUGACCUCACUGUGUUAAUAGCAAUUGUAAAUAAUGAAAGAUAGAUGGAGGCAUUUGGGUGAGAAAUCUGUGACAAGCUUUUAUGUGAAAACAUUCAGUAUCUGUUUUCACUUUAAUCACUUACUGUUUUUAAGCAGUGACAAAAACAUCCUGCUGAAAUAGGAACACUGGGAUCCCAUCUGCAGGGAGAACGAUAGUGUUAGACAGGCCUUACUAUCACAUAGACGUGACAGUAUAUCGGGCAAACGUAUUAGUUGCUACUUUUAUUGUUGUUUUUAAGACUGCUUGAGAAAAGUUGCUUUAACCAGGCUUAUGAACUUUCAAAUGGCUACAUAAAAUUAUAUCUUGUCUUUGUUUAUCCAUAACAUAAAGCUACUCUGGUAAAAAUAAAAUAGAGACUUCCUCUUUUAGAGGUUUACUAUACCUUAAUGACCUCAAACUGCUUCUUUUUUUCUAGGGAGGAAGCUCAUUGAUAUUUCUUCCAGAAUAGGGCCAGUCACUUUGACUUUGUGAAGGCUAGAGCCAUUUGUGAUAAAUCCUCAGUCGUUUUGGUCACAUGUACAUUUGAAGUGUAAUAGCUACUUUUCUUCUGCAGUUUAAACACCCACAUUUUGUACUUGUGGAUAUUCUUGCUGGAUUAAGUGUUUUGUAAUAUAUUGAAACAUGUCAUUGCUGUGACAGAAAUAUCCUAGAAACAGAGUGCUCUUUUUUUUCCUGUAACAGAACACAGAAGUAAGUAUCAAAACAAAUUAUGACAUAUGGGAUAACAACAGACUGUGUAAGAAUGAUGAAUAUGCUCCAGGUUUUAAUGUGGAUGGAAAUGGAAGCAUUUUCAUACCUGCCAAAACCUUUUAACAACGUUUUGAAAACUAUUGUUUACAUUGUUGGGAAAGGUUUAUAUCUAGAAACAACCUCUUCCUUUGGCAAACUUGGUUUAAAUAAUCUUGGACCUCUGACAAGCAAAAUGAUGAAUACACCAAUAUGCUCUGAUGUUGUCUUAGCUUGUUUUCAAUAGGAGAGUUAACAAAAGUGAAAAUUAAGGAUUGGGAUUUGAGAAAGUAGGUCCAGAUGAGGAAAAUGUCACUGAAAAUGUUAGCCUCUGGUGAUUUGUUCCAGUAGGCCCAAUAGGAAAAGUAUCCUAUCAGUCAAAAAGAAUUUUAGGAAUACUGAAAAAAAAACCAAAACAAAAAAAACCAACCCCCCAAAAAACCAGCAAGAAUCACAUUCUCUUUUACUAAACACCUUCCUUAAUGAUUCAUGGUCUCCUGCAACUCCUGACCCUUGGGGUACAAUAUUGCAGCGUAGAUAACAGUAGGACAGUGUGUCUGGUAUUCAGCAGGCAUAAGGUACCCAAUGAUUCAGUAACUAUUAGGUUGUCAAACUCCUAUGGUAUCUAUAGGGUUUGGCUCACCCUGUCCAGUUUUGCCAGUCCAGUCUCACUGGUUUUCUGACCUUAACUUGUUCCUCCAAUGCAGGACUGCAUCCUAAUUCCAGAUCACUACAGGAGAAGGAAUGGAGUGAAUGACACCCAAUCUCUCUCUAACUCCUCCCCAGCAAAUGAGCAAAGUCAUAGAAUCACAGAAUCAUAGAAUGGUAAGGGUUGGAAGGGGCCUUUAGAGAUCAUCUAGUCCAAGCCCCUGCUAAAGCAGGUCCACCUAGAUCAGGUCACACAGGAACACGUCCAGGCAGGUUUGAAGACCUCCAGAGAAGGAGACUCCACACCUUCCCUGGGCAGCCUGUGCCAGGGCACCCUCACCUGAACAGUAAAAUAGUUUUUCCUUAUGUUUAAGUGGAACUUUUUGUGUUCAAGCUUCCUUCCAUUACCCCUUGUCCUGUCACUAGAUACAACAGGAAAAAGUGAUGCCUCAACCUCCUGACAUCCACCAUUAAAUACUUGUAAAUAUUAAUGAGAUCCCGCCUCAGUCUCCUCUAGACUAAACAGUCCCAGUUCCUGCAGCUUUUCCUCAUAAGGAAGAUGCUCCAGUCCCCUGAUCAUCUUGGUGGCCCUGCACUGGACUCUCUCCAGCACUUCCCUGUCCCUCUUGAGCUGAGGAGCCCAGAACUAGACACAGUACUCCAGAUGAGGCCUCACCAGGGCAGAGUAAAGGGGAAGAAGAACCUCCCUUGACCUGCUGGCCAUGCUCUUCUUGAUGCAUCCCAGGAUGACA